Long non-coding RNA from Trachemys scripta elegans, 313 nucleotides. RefSeq lists it as uncharacterized. The record is from RefSeq and is a predicted model, not a curated record. Lineage: Eukaryota; Metazoa; Chordata; Testudines; Emydidae. The transcript has 3 exons.
UAAUGAAAUGCAUGGAUUGUAAAGAAAGUACAGACUGCACUUUAAUAAUUCUGAGGAAAAAUAAUGUUCAGAUUGGGUAAAAUUGAUGGAUAGGAUUCUGUAUCACAAUAAGAAAAUUGGGUCAAGCUGGCUGCCCGGAUUUGAAGAUAGGUCUUCUGUUCCCUACACUGAAGCUUUAAUUUAUGAAGUGUUCAACAUGCAUCUUAGAUGCCUUUCAUGAUUCCUCAUUGUACAACUGAAGAUAUUGUAUUGAGUGGAUAUUUUAUUGCCAAAGAUUCCUGUGUUUUCAUCCAUCAAUAUCAAAUCAACUAUG